GACGAACGCUGGCGGCGUGCUUAACACAUGCAAGUCGAACGGUAAGGCCCUUCGGGGUACACGAGUGGCGAACGGGUGAGUAACACGUGGGUGAUCUGCCCUGCACUUCGGGAUAAGCCUGGGAAACUGGGUCUAAUACCGGAUAGGACUCCGGACUGCAUGGUCUGGGGUGGAAAGCUUUUGCGGUGUGGGAUGGGCCCGCGGCCUAUCAGCUUGUUGGUGGGGUGAUGGCCUACCAAGGCGACGACGGGUAGCCGGCCUGAGAGGGUGACCGGCCACACUGGGACUGAGAUACGGCCCAGACUCCUACGGGAGGCAGCAGUGGGGAAUAUUGCGCAAUGGGCGCAAGCCUGAUGCAGCGACGCCGCGUGAGGGAUGACGGCCUUCGGGUUGUAAACCUCUUUCAGCAUCGACGAAGCGAAAGUGACGAUAGGUGCAGAAGAAGGACCGGCCAACUACGUGCCAGCAGCCGCCGCGG
RNAcentral lists this ribosomal RNA (478 nucleotides) under uncultured bacterium. RNAcentral's name for it is "partial 16S ribosomal RNA". It matches the Rfam family "Bacterial small subunit ribosomal RNA", at positions 28 to 523 of the family's 1533-position model. The record is from RNAcentral.